RNAcentral lists this small nucleolar RNA (101 nucleotides) under Nannospalax galili (Upper Galilee mountains blind mole rat). Lineage: Eukaryota; Metazoa; Chordata; Mammalia; Rodentia; Spalacidae. The record is from RNAcentral.
CAAAAACAUGACCUAGCCAUCAAGAAGGGGCAGAGUAAAAAGACCACUUUGGGGUAAGUAGCAGCUUGUGUUGUUUUAUUUCAAUGGGUGUUGUGACAAAA